RNAcentral lists this long non-coding RNA (1321 nucleotides) under Phoenix dactylifera (date palm). Its description in RNAcentral is "long non-coding RNA (PDAC_LNC003962)". The record is from RNAcentral. Lineage: Eukaryota; Viridiplantae; Streptophyta; Magnoliopsida; Arecales; Arecaceae.
UCUUUUCUUCCAUUUGCCCUGUCCGCCUUCUCUACUGUGUCGGUACAGGCCUGGCACGGCACGACGCGGGCCUAUAUCGAUUUGUGCCGCUGAGCAAUCGGUCUGGUGCUUGGUAUUGGUACAACAGACAAUGCUACAGUUACUAUGCCAUUUUUGUUAAUGGCAUGACAUUUGGUAAAGGAAGCAAAAAAAAGAAAAGAAUGACCUUGUCCCAAUGCGUUGCUGUAUGUUGUUGAGGAAGAACAAGAAGGGAGGAGGAAAUUAGGGAACCUUGAUCUCAAGGUUUGAUGUCAUUGAGCUGGAGAGGAUGUUUUGCUGACUAGAAGUUUUGAUGAUUAAGAAUGGAGAGGAAAGGGAACUUGAGAAUGGUUGUGGGAUUGUGGCUUGUGACACCUUGAGGGCAAGGAGCUGCUUGGGGGCUAGGGCAACCUCUAAAGAUAAGAAGCUGAGCCAUUUGAAUGCAAUGCAAUGGCUAAUGUUGUCUCUUUUUACAAGUCUUGUUCGCCCUAGAUAGCUUUAAGUGUGUUCGCUGCCCCCCCACUCUCUAGUUAUAACCACUCAUAUCUUAAAACUAUUUGCACCUCAUACACUUGAGAAAGGUAGAAGUACAUCUCACAAAAUUGAGGGUGUGCUUUUGACUAGAAAUAAGAUUUUAGUAUUAAAUUUAGUGGAGAUCAUAGUUCUUUUUUUCUUGGUGAGUAGAGAUCAUAGUUGACCAACAACAUGUCAUAUGCUUAAUACUAAUAUAAUAUAUAUUAACUUUAAUUAUUUGUAAUUUUGAGUUCUAUUGAACUAAAAUUGAGCAAGUUGAAUCUAAAUUGUGUUCAGCUUAUUUAUUUUUUGAGCUCAAAAAUUUAGCUUAUAUUUAGCUCGUUUACCAGUUGAGUAAUCCAAUUUCAAGCUGAAUUUUGAGUCAAACACGAGCUGCUUGCAAACAGCUUGUUUGUUUGACGGCCCUAAUUGUGUUGCCAACCUCAAAUUAGCUGCUCUUUCUUCAUGUUUUGCCUAACUAUGAUAACCAUCAAAAAAUUUGUCUGGAUCUUCUUAAUAUUGCUUUGGUUUUACAUUAAAAAAAAUCUUUUAGCAGUCCUUGACGUUGUUAAGCUCUGUUUUUUUGGGUGGCACUUGACCUGCUAAUCCCACCGCAAUCCAUUUGAUCAAGGUUGAGCUACUAAUCUUUUCAUCUCUAUAUGAUGAGGCAUUUCAGAGUUUGCUAAGAUCCCUUGAGUUCUUACUUCAAAUUCUAUUUCUAUUCCAGGGGGUGGGGGGGAGUCUUAGGGUUUAGCCCCAAAUGGGCCGUUUAUGGAUGGUUUAAUGACUA